CUAGGGCCCAGUCAGUUAAGCAUCUGACUCUUGAUUUUGGCUCAGGUCAUAGUCUCAGGUCUGUGAGAUCCAGCCCCGCAUUGGCCUCUGUGCUGGGCAUGGAGCCUGCUUGAGAUUCUCUCUCCCUUUCCCUCUACCCCCAUCCCUCUCUUAAAAAAAAAAUUCUCCACUGGGUUUCCAUUUCAAGAUUGAAUUUAAUAUUUCACAAGAAGGGUUUAGUGCCAUCUGUAGGGGUGAGGAGGGGAGUGGGGUGGGAUCCUCUUGUUCAAACACUCGGAUUCCCACUGUCUGUGGCACGGAGUCUACUCAGUGACCAGCCGGGUCAUUUGGGGCCCCUCUCCUUUGCUCCCACUCUUAAGGAUAACAGAUGGCAGGGAGGUGCAUUUAUAAAGGUCGAGGCUCAAAUAAUAAAGCUCUUCCUUUAUUUUCUCCCCCCUCAAACACAAACACAGAAAAUGCACGGCUCCACAGGAAGCUUGGGAAGGAAUCCUGCUCUGUGGGAAGGCUAGGUGGGGCAGGGGAAGAAGAGGAAACACAUCUGCUUGGCCUUUUCUUUACAAAAGGCACAAGAGCAAAUACUCCAAUUCCUGAGCCUGCGGGCCCCUCUGACAGACUUUCCGUUUUACAACGAGCUCCCCCACGUGGUGACUUCUGAGAAAACCUGGACUCGGCUCUCCUGAAUCCUUUCUCGGUGUGGAAGGUGGUGAGGAAUGGUGCGCGGGAUCUACUGGAGAACAGGCUGGACCAUAUCAAAGUCCUACUGUUCCUGAUUCCAGUUAGCCCUUUAACUGCCUUUAAUUUCUUAUCCAGAAAAAACUAGUAAUGGGGGAAUGACUGGAACGAUGCAGGCUCUCUGGUGUAAAUACUGGAUAGACACCCUCCCCUGCCCUGCCCCACUCCUCCCCACAGGUAGCUGUCUUUUGCGCCCCUGUCCUCUUCCCCUUGAACUGUGGGCAUUGCUCAGGUGGUACUUAUUCUACAGAACUCCUGGUGUUGGGCACUGGCAAACAGUUGGGGUUCUGUAUUACAGGACUUCUCAGGGCCUUUACAGUACAAAUGGGCAUUGUGAAGUUUCAAAGAAGUAGCUACCAUGUGCAGAAUAGCCUAACUCUUACACAUACAACCUCACUUACAAGGGAGGUGUUCUGUGGACCACAUUCUGGGAAGACUGAUCUAGUUGCAGCUGGCAAAGAGCUGGCGGUAGUUAGCAGUUAUCAGUGAAGAAUGCUUGGAAUCUGAAGUUUAGGAAUAUGAAGUUAGGAAUAUUCCUAUGGUCUCCUUGUUGACUAAAUGGGCAAAAUCUUCCCCUUCUUCCUACUAGGCUGAAUUUGGAAGUCNCGGAAUCUGAAGUUUAGGAAUAUAGUUCCUAUGGUCUCCUUGCUGACUAAAUGGGCAAAAUCUUCCCCUUCUUCCUACUAGGCUGAAUUUGGAAGUCUUUGGUCCUGAAUACUUCUUUUUCAUCUCUGGUUUUCUGCUGGGCUUUAAAUGGACAAAUGCGUAUAAAACAGGGAUCUGGGCAGCCCCGGUGGCCUAGCAGUUUAGCGCCUGCCUUCAGCCCAGGGUGUGAUCCUGGAGUCCUGGGAUCGAGUCCGAUGUCGGGCUCCCUGCGUGGAGCCUGCUUCUCCCUCUGCCUCUCUCUCUCUCUCUCUGUGCCUCUCAUGAGUAAAUAAAUAAAAUCUUUAAAAAAAAACA
This is a long non-coding RNA of Vulpes vulpes (red fox), 1692 nucleotides long. Lineage: Eukaryota; Metazoa; Chordata; Mammalia; Carnivora; Canidae. The record is from Ensembl.